CAGCCGCCGCGGUAAGACGGAGGGUGCUAGCGUUGUUCGGAAUCACUGGGCGUAAAGGGCGCGUAGGCGGCCUGUUAAGUCGGAUGUGAAAGCCCGGGGCUCAACCCCGGAACUGCAUCCGAGACUGGCAGGCUUGAGACCGGGAGAGGAGGGUGGAAUAUCCAGUGUAGAGGUGAAAUUCGUAGAUAUUGGAUGGAACACCGGUGGCGAAGGCGACUGACUGGACAAGUAUUGACGCUGAGGUGCGAAAGCGUGGGGAGCAAACAGGAUUAGAUACCCCGGUAGUCCCUGUCUCUUAUAC
This 301-nucleotide ribosomal RNA is filed under the name uncultured bacterium. Its description in RNAcentral is "partial 16S ribosomal RNA". It matches the Rfam family "Bacterial small subunit ribosomal RNA", at positions 509 to 807 of the family's 1533-position model. The record is from RNAcentral.